GGGAGCGUUCUCAUCCACAAAGGAGUCACCUCGUUUAUGGCUGUUGGAGGAGGGGCCUGAGGGUCUGCAGCAGCUGUGAAGGCCGGAGGUGGCAAUUUAUGGCUGUUGGAGGGGGGCCUGAGGGUCUGCUGCAGCCGUGAAGGCUGGAGGCGGGGAGAGUUCCUUCUUCGUCCCCGAGCGUCAGGGCCUUGCCAGACGAUCACAGUCAAUGGCACUGCGAUAGCUCGGGGAAGAGUGGCCCACUCUGGGGGAAAACUUACCUAAAGGCCAAAGAGGAGUGGUUAGACAUAAAUGUCUAAAUCAGAGUCCUACCAGGAGCAAAAAGAUGGGAUGAUCAUCCCUGGUUAAGUUUCCAGAGGGACAGAGAACUACUUAACAGAAUAUUUAACCUAUAGGACAUGGGACCUAUGUGUGAAGCUUAGUAACAGACUGAUGUGUUGAGUACCGAGUUACAAAGUAAGGAACAUCUGAGCUGGCCUCAACUCAGACAUAUGCCACCUGAGCUCUGCACCUCACAGGGUGGCUUUGGGCUCUGCAAGAGCUGAGUGCAACGUUGACUGUCCACAAUCCAGCCAGCGUGGUCCACACCUGCAGAAGUGAUCAGAUGUUAAAGCACUACUGACUGGCACUGAAGUCAAGUCCUGAAAUGCACAAAACGACCACCGCACUCACCUCGUACACCAGGAGUGCGAAAUAACUAAAGACGCAAUAAACUGCAGAAAGAUCACUACCAGUCGUUUAGAAUAACCCUGUUUUCACGCAGCGUCUUCCUUAUUCAUAUAAUCACUUCCUCUGCCACUCAAAUGGUGAAAACUAUAGUUAAUUCAGCGAAAUUUUUGGAUAAAUCAAUUAAAAUAUCUUCGUUGUG
Manis pentadactyla (Chinese pangolin) is the source of this 868-nucleotide long non-coding RNA. RefSeq lists it as uncharacterized. The record is from RefSeq and is a predicted model, not a curated record. NCBI's taxonomy places the organism in Eukaryota, Metazoa, Chordata, Mammalia, Pholidota, Manidae. The transcript has 2 exons.